ACAAUAAAAGGUAACAUUUACUAAGCAUUAACUAUGUAGUACACAUUUCUAUAGGCUCUAUAUGUAUUUACUCCUUUAAACUGCAGAAAACCAUGAUGAAAUUUGUGAUAUCAAUGUAUUAGUAAGGAGGAAACUAAAACAAACAGGGGUUAAGUAACUUUCCCAAAGAAACACCCAGACAGGUGGAGCUCAAAUGAUGCUGAACAAGAGAAUGAUGCUGAAUGAGAGAACCCUACCUUUUAGGAUUGAGCUCUCAUAUGAAUCAUUGUCUAGCAAAGAUUGAAAUAUGAUGGAAAGUAAUUCUGUACCUAUAUUAAUCUAGCCUUUUUAAACUAUGAAUUCUCUGAAGGUAAGUUAGUCAUGAGUUUAUAUAAAAAAGGAUACUCAUAUUCAUAAUUUGAAUUUUCUGAUACUCCAAAGUCAAAUGUUAUGGAUAAGCAUGGAAAGGAUUUACUAAAUUAAUUUUUCACACAGUCUUUCUCCAUUAUUAGGUUUCUGAUGUUGAGUAAGGUGUGAAUGACAUCUAAAGUCCUUACCAUAUGCAUUACAUUUAUAAGGCUUCCCGCCAGAAUGAAUUCUCUGAUGUUAAGUUGUGAUACACAGUUAAAGGCCUUCCCACAUUAGUUACAUUUGUAUGUUUCUCAGCAGUAUGAACUCUCUGAUAGUAAGUUAGCUGUGAGCUAUAAAUAAAAGUCUUACCACAUUCCUUACAUUCAUAUGGUUUCCAGUAUGAAAAAUCUGAUGUAGCUUUAGUUGCGAGGCACAAAAUAAAGAUCUUCCCACACAGCUUACAUUCCUAGGGAUUCUCACCUGUAUGAAUUUUCUGAUGUUGAGACAGUUGUGAGCCAUAAGCAAAGACCUUUCCACAUUCUUUACAUUCAUAGGGUUUUUCACCAGUAUGAAUUCUCUGAUGCUGAGUAAGAUGUGAGCCACGAAUAAAGGUUUUCCCACAUUCCUUACCUUCGAAGGGUUUUUCACCAGUGUGAGUUCUUUGAUGUUCAGUAAGGUGUGAACCACAAAUAAAUGAUUUCCCACAUUUUUCACAUUCAUACAGUUUCUCACCAGUAUGAGUCCUCUGAUGUCGAAUAAGCUGUGAGUCAUAGUUAAAGGCCUUUCCACACUGCUUACAUUCAUGUGGCUUCUUACCUGUAUGGAUCCUUUGAUGUUCAGUAAGUUGUGAACCAAGGAUAAAAAAUAUCUCACAAUCUUUACAUUUAUAAAGCUUUUCACCAGUAUGAAAUCUAUAAUGUGGAGAAAGCUGUGAACCAUAACGAAAGGCUCUCCCACAUUCAUUACACACACAGUUUCUCACCAGUAUGAAUUCUCUGAUGUUCAGUAAGUUGAAAGCCACGAAUAAAGGACUUUCCACAUUCAUUACAUAUGUAGGGUUUCUCACCAGUUAUGAAUUCUCUGAUGG
RNAcentral lists this long non-coding RNA (1417 nucleotides) under Bos taurus (domestic cattle). RNAcentral describes it as "long non-coding RNA NONBTAT009401". Lineage: Eukaryota; Metazoa; Chordata; Mammalia; Artiodactyla; Bovidae. The record is from RNAcentral.